Molecule: ribosomal RNA, 253 nt
Filed under: uncultured bacterium
Lineage: Bacteria
Description: partial 16S ribosomal RNA
Rfam family: Bacterial small subunit ribosomal RNA
Source: RNAcentral
UACGGAGGGGGCUAGCGUUGUUCGGAAUUACUGGGCGUAAAGCGCGCGUAGGCGGACCUGCAAGUCAGGGGUGAAAUCCUGGAGCUCAACUCCAGAACUGCCUUUGAUACUGAGGAUCUUGAGUUCGGGAGAGGUGAGUGGAACUGCGAGUGUAGAGGUGAAAUUCGUAGAUAUUCGGAAGAACACCAGUGGCGAAGGCGACUUACUGGACACAUAUUGACGCUGAGGUGCGAAAGCGUGGGGAGCAAACAGG